RNAcentral lists this ribosomal RNA (253 nucleotides) under uncultured bacterium. Its description in RNAcentral is "partial 16S ribosomal RNA". It matches the Rfam family "Bacterial small subunit ribosomal RNA", at positions 524 to 776 of the family's 1533-position model. The record is from RNAcentral.
UACGGAGGGUGCAAGCGUUAUCCGGAUUCACUGGGUUUAAAGGGUGCGUAGGUGGAGUGGUAAGUCAGUGGUGAAAUCUCCAAGCUUAACUUGGAGACUGCCGUUGAUACUAUCAUUCUUGAAUAUCGUGGAGGUAAGCGGAAUAUGUCAUGUAGCGGUGAAAUGCUUAGAUAUGACAUAGAACACCGAUUGCGAAGGCAACUUGCUACACGAUCAUUGACACUGAGGCACGAAAGCGUGGGGAUCAAACAGG